GCCAGGAUAGCCAAGUGGACAACGGCGCUGGUCUUGAAAACCAGUUCCUAUAUGGAUCCGGGGUUCAAAUCCCCGUCCUGGCU
Molecule: transfer RNA, 83 nt
Filed under: Candidatus Heimdallarchaeota archaeon AB_125
Lineage: Archaea; Promethearchaeati; Candidatus Heimdallarchaeota
Description: tRNA-Ser
Rfam family: tRNA
About the family: Transfer RNA (tRNA) molecules are approximately 80 nucleotides in length. Their secondary structure includes four short double-helical elements and three loops (D, anti-codon, and T loops).
Source: RNAcentral